ACAUAGAGAGAGAUAGAGAGUCAGAGGAAGACAAAGUGCAUCAAAUGUCUUUCCACAAGUACCUUCCAAACACCCACCCUUCCUCCUUCCUUUCUCCCUCCCUCCUUUCCUUCUUCUUCCUUCCCCCGCUACUUCCUCCCUGCCAACAUCCCUCCUUAACUCUCUCCCUUCUUCCCCCUCUGUUUCUCUUUCUUUGAAACAGGGUUCCUCACCAGUCUGGGACUUGACAAGUAGGCUAGUCUGACUGGCCAGUGAGCCCAGGGAUCUGCUGGUCUCUACCCCCAGAGCUAGGAUUAUGAGGUGCGACCUCUUAGCCUCUUGCUCCUGCUGCUGUACCUGCUGCUGGCCAAGAUGGACUCCUCCCUCUGGACCUUAUGCCAAAACAAACUGCUUUUUCCUUAAGCUGGCUAUGGUGCUUUGUAACAGCAACAACAGAAGUGUAUCUAAGGAGCGUGGGGUUACUGUGGAACCCUGGCUCCUUCAGGACUCACCCAUCCACAGGGUCAUGCCACCGCUGCUGAUUCAUGUUUGCUCUCCUGGCUCUACCAAACUGGACUGCUGGUGUAUCCAUAAAGUGUUUGCGAGUGGAUCAAGCUGCCGCAGCUGACCUGUGAACUGAACCGCUGAUUUCCAGACAACAAAGACGGGAGUUGUUCCAAAGAACCUUUCUAAACAGCCACCGCGCACCUGUGAACCCAAGUCCCCAAACCCUGCCGCUGCCGACACUGUUGACAAGGAAAGACAGCAGAGAAAAGGGAUGAAAUCUGUAUUCUGCGGCUGGGACACUGAGGGACGCCACGGAGACAAGACAAACAGGAUUGUUCCUUAUCUGGAGUCCUGGACCGGGCUUUCCUAAAAAGAAAUGGCUCCCCACAAAAGCCACAGGAUUCUUUUAUUUCCCGCUUUUCGUGCCAGAUGUUUCCCGGGACACUUGAAGAAGAUGGAGGAAGUAGAAUGAACCCAGGCUUAGCCCAGCAACUCAGCUCCCCUCUGACCUUGAACAGGUCCCUCCCGGCACACUGGAGGUUUCUCAACCACAGGGCAUGGGUUUCCUUUCUUUGUGUACCUCUUGGUUGUGCUGAGAAGCAAAGAAAACUAGCAAAGUCAGAAGCACUUUGGAAAUGUCGAGCGUAUCACGUGACCUCAAGGCUCUUGAAGCAUCACAUGACCUGAAGGGUUCUGGAUCUCUUCAUCCAAAAUGGCAGCGGGAAACUUCAGCCUGAUUUCUUUCCUUCUUCCUUCCCGUUGUUCCUUCCUCACUGGAAAAGCACCGAGAGAAUCCCGCCCCUGUACCAGACGCUGUUAUUUUCUCAGGGACUGAGGAUUCCCACAGGUUCCCGGAACUCAGAGGGAGGAGGGAGCAGAUCUAAAUAAACUAUAAUUAUGAUGAGUGGG
Rattus norvegicus (Norway rat) is the source of this 1395-nucleotide long non-coding RNA. RefSeq lists it as uncharacterized. Lineage: Eukaryota; Metazoa; Chordata; Mammalia; Rodentia; Muridae. The record is from RefSeq and is a predicted model, not a curated record.